RNAcentral lists this ribosomal RNA (435 nucleotides) under Stygocapitella sp. 210_02. RNAcentral describes it as "partial large subunit ribosomal RNA". It matches the Rfam family "Bacterial large subunit ribosomal RNA", at positions 1897 to 2625 of the family's 2925-position model. Lineage: Eukaryota; Metazoa; Annelida; Polychaeta; Parergodrilidae. The record is from RNAcentral.
UAAGUCAGCCUGCCUCUGACUUUUAACAGCCGCGGUAUCCUAACCGUGCUAAGGUAGCAUAAUCACUUGCCUAUUAAUUAUAGGCUAGAAUGAACGGGAUCACUCACUUAAACUUAUUUUUAUUUAAAUUUAAAUUAAACUUUAAGUCAAAAUACUAAAUUAAAAAGAAAGACAAAAAGACCCUGAAAACUAUUAGAAAUAAUUAGUUGGGGCAACUAUAGACCACUCUAGCGUCUAUUUUUUUUUUAAACUCUUAAAAUCUAAAGUAUCCAGUUACUUCAGGGAUAACAGACUAAUUUUAUUAUUUAGACCCAAUAAAUAAUAAAGAUUGGCACCUCGAUGUUGGCUUAUAUUUCCUUCAUAUAGCAACAUAUAUAGAAGGCAGCUUGUUCAUCUGUUAAAUAUUUACAUGAGCUGAGUUCAGACCGGCGUAAG